Long non-coding RNA from Electrophorus electricus (electric eel), 2133 nucleotides. RefSeq lists it as uncharacterized. The record is from RefSeq and is a predicted model, not a curated record. Lineage: Eukaryota; Metazoa; Chordata; Actinopteri; Gymnotiformes; Gymnotidae.
GAGAAACAGCAAUUACAACUAGAAAAAAAACAGCUAAAGACUUGCCUCGACAUCACGCUUCCUUGUCACGUCCGACCGCCAAGGGAUGCAGCGAGCCUCCGUUUCGUCACGAGGUCUACUCGCGGGGGCGGAGUGCUUGGCGUCGCUCCCCGAGGACACCGAGGACACUACCAGAUUGGGGAAUGCAAGGCUGACCUGUAUCAGCACGGAGUUGGAGAGGCUCAUCCAAGUAGAGGAGGCAGGUGAAGCCCCUCAUAGUGACCCAGAGCCUCCUGCUAGCACCUCCCUUGACAGCCCUAAGAGAUAAGGAAUUGACUCUCCCAUCCCUUCAAAAAAGACAGAGAAGGGAAAGAAGCAAAACGGAACUCUUCCCGAGUCCUCCUGUGUAGUAGAGACAGUCAUCCGAGGGGAUUUGUUCCGUCCCUCCUGAAGGCGGAUCCUGUCUUCCAAAUCGGCUCACUCCGUCCCUGCCUGGAGGAGGAUCCCGAGGGGAUUAAGGAGGCUCCGGGGGAUUCUGGGUCGAACGCUGUCUCUACGGCGCCCGAGCCUAUGGCGGGCAGUUCGUCUGGCGAGGAACAUCGUGAAGCACUCCCUGGCACGUCCACUAGGAAGGCGGACGUGCUUUUGCUGCCCAAGCGGCCAAUAAGCGUUCCCUCCUGGACUCAUGAGACCUGGCCCAAGCCAGCGGCAGGAGGGUCUGCCAGUAUCCCCUUCUGGCCAGUCACUGGACCUCCACCUUCCCUUCCCCUAGGGUCUGUUGGGUCAUGUUCCUGUCACUGUCUUCUUGCCCAUCACAGUUGUCAGUCCCUCUGAUCCCCUUUGUGUCUGAUCCCCUUAUUGUCAGUGUGCAAAUCCCUGUCUAUGGCUGUCUCGGCCCGUUAUCCUCCCCAGUGCUGUCUGUGCUGGCCUGUGUCGGGUCGCUCAGUCCUCUGGCCUCCUCUAUUUGGUGUCGGUCUGGGGGACGUGGCCCCAAUAGGCUGGUGUGCCUGGAGUUGUGCCAUUGGGAGGGGGUUCUGUCAUGGUAUGGCCCCCCCCCUCUCCUAGACUCCUCCCCACGUUCACGUGCGUCUGUCGUCACUCCCCUACUGUGUUAAAUGAUCAUGUGUCCUUAGUUAUGUUUGUUGUUGGCACAUGUAUUUAAACCCCUGUUGUCUUGGCCCUGUGUGUACUACACGUAACAUCACGCUAGGUUCCACAAGUUGUAGUUUAGUGUUUUUGUUCUGUUUUUUGUGUUUUGGUUUUAUUUAUUAAUAAACACAUUCUUGGUUUACGGAGAUUUGCCUCGGUAUUCCCUUUCCUCGACACAAGGCUUUUAUUUUUUGCUGGCAGUGAAACAGGUGUCUUGUACAAAGACCUACCAAUGUACGCAAGUGUUCACAUUUCCUGUGCAGAUCAUUUUAUUUGUAUGCGAACCAUCAAAAUGGGCAAAUCUGAGCUGAGCGUAAAUGUAUAAUUCAGAUUGUUCAAUUCCAAUUUUGAAUGUGAAUGUAAAUUUUGAAUCAGGCUGCACUGCUCCAUUUCAGUAUGUGCUUUCUUCCAUCCAGUGUCCAUCAGCAAGAAACAGGCAGUGUACAAGUACCGUAUUCAGUUAUGCAGGGGUGCCACGGUCACCUUUUAUACAAAUAUAACUUCUGCCCCCCCAGUGCCACACACCCCAUCCUGAAAAGCAGUCAUUUAAAAAAUAUUUGUACAAAAUAAACAUUCAUAAAAACCUGUUUUGUUUGCUUUUUGCUUUGCCGAGUCCUGUAACCUAUUCUGACGAGGCUUCAUGCCCGUUAUCUAUGCAUUACCUUUUGUUCAGAGAAGCACUGAGGCUAAACUGGCUGAAUAGCUGAGUUAAACAUUUAUUGAAAGAUGGACAUCAGUACUCUUUGCAAACUUGAAAGCAUAUGAAGAGUAAAUGCCAUAAAGGUGUAGUAACAGUAUUGGUUUAAACUGUGAUAUUUUCCAAAGUCUAGAUUUAACCCAGCCAUAACUGUUUCAAAAUGAAGGAACUGGCCUAUGGUUGGCCUAUAUAUGCAUUUGUUAGUUCAUACAGAGCACAAAAAUAAUCAAACACAUCUAUAUUGAUUGGCAACUCAGUGUUUUGAGCUUCUGCUUUACAUCGACAAUGAGAAAAAAAAGAAAAAAAAA